RNAcentral lists this long non-coding RNA (264 nucleotides) under Elaeis guineensis (African oil palm). RNAcentral describes it as "long non-coding RNA (EGUI_LNC000259)". Lineage: Eukaryota; Viridiplantae; Streptophyta; Magnoliopsida; Arecales; Arecaceae. The record is from RNAcentral.
AAGCACCAUGGAAUGUGUACGGAUGGGUUGGGUAGGUUGUUUAGAGGAGGUUGUGUCUUGCUGGAAACUUGUCAUGGGGAAAAAUAUCGGAAGAGAGGGUUUUGCAGAUAAGGGAUUGCAAUAAAGGUAGUAAGUAAUCUGGUCCGAACAGAUACAGAGUCUGUAGUACUAGACGGGCUGGGAGAGAGAACGGUUAUGGAAGGAGGUGCUGGGGCAGACCGAGACAUGAGGGAUGCUACCGAUGGUGAGGUAGACAAAUGGGGC